Equus caballus (horse) is the source of this 1970-nucleotide long non-coding RNA. The record is from Ensembl. NCBI's taxonomy places the organism in Eukaryota, Metazoa, Chordata, Mammalia, Perissodactyla, Equidae.
CUGAACUCCAAUUACCAUUGGGAACCACAGGAAGGCAACACAGAAAAACAGAAAGGAAAAUGGUGAUUCCAGGUCUCCCCUGGCUUCCACACUAUUUAGAAGGAACUUAGAAUUUCCAUUAAUACUCCAAAAGGAAUGGGUAGAGGAGGACAAGGAAGAUGUCUGAGAGUAGAGACAGAGAGCUUGCUGAGAUAAGGGUUGAAAUGCCCACAUAGCAAAAGGUGAAGGAGUCAUAAUGUUGAGAAGUCAUGAUUCGAAGGAGUCAUAAUUAGACCUCAGAGGUCAAACAUCCCUAGUGAGAGGUGAGGCAACGCCCAAUCAGUAACAGGAGAUCCAUGAACUCCUAAGCUAUAAUCAUUACACCUGUUCUGUGUCAAGAUCAAAUACCACACUUUAUAUCCAUAGUAGAUGAAGUUUAGAUGACAGAAAUCAGUUCCCAGAAACCAGAUUCUUCAUGGCAAGAAAGGAAAGAGGAAGGGAGAAAAGCUCUGAAAGGCUGACCAGGUACCCCAAAGAGACUGCGUUUAUCUACAAGACUGUUUGAACUGAAAGAAAUGGUCUCUAAGCCAACCAGAAAAAAGAAAAUAGCUCAAAAAGGAGGUAAAAAUCAAAGAAAGAAAAAUAUUAAUAAAAUAAGACUCCAGGAUAAUGAGUAAUUGGUGAGACCAGAAGGUGACAAAUUGAUCCGGUAACUGAUUUGCCUGGAUAGCUUUCAACUAAAUGCUCUCAAAAGGAAGAUAUUCUGAAUGAAACAGAAGACCCCGAAACCUUUCCUUUCCACCACCAACCCCCAGAAGCAGAAAGUCAUGAAGGCUCAGUCAGUUGCCCAUAAACUGUGUUCCUGGGUCUUGGCUACAUUGCCAUCAUUUCAGAUGAGCCCCAUCAAUACCAGAUGGACCCCCCGGAUACACGCUCAUUAGUCAUAUGCUUUAAGAUGAGCCCAGUUCUCACACCCACCCGAUGGUGGCAACGGAAAUGAUUACUCUGGGCACCCUGACUGCGUGACUGUGAAAGCAACUGUUUGGUGUUAACUGAUUUGCAUAAUGGUGGAGAACUCCCAGUUUGGGGGAAGUCUUUUCCUAUUUCUGCAGUUCCACAUGCCGUGCUAGUUUCUAAGGGAGCAGGAGCCAGAUACUGAAGCCAUGUCACCCCCUUGUUUGAGGGAGCAGUGCCUCUCAUCACCCUAUACCGCCUCAGUCUAGUCACAUGAGCCCUUAAAAGCAGAGGGAGCAGUUGCCCUGGAAGUUUCCAUGCUAUGGGCAAUGUAUUCAGACCCCAGGACAAGAUCUGAGUGCACGCUCAACCCUAAAAGGGGGAUGAGAAUAAUUUGAUUGAAAAAUGUCCCCAUAGCCUCAUCUUGAAAGAACGAAGUCUUUUUUCCUUCCUUUUACCCAGCAGGCGAGUAGUGUUUUUUAUCUUCCAGGCAUAACUCUUGGAAAGAAUGGAGCUACUUGUUUCAAAAGCCUGUGCUAAUGGGAAUAAACAGUUAAAAUAAAGUUUUUCCCAACUUCAGGGUAAGAAUGACUUUGUGUAGAUAUGGAGGACUGAAAGGAAAGUGGGUUCUACCAGUGGCAGAGAUCAGUACCCCACCCAAUGCUCCAGGAGAUACUAGGACUUUUUCAUAAAGCUGGGAUGUGGAUUCCCCACGACUGAACCUGGAAAAACAAGCCUAGCGGCCCAUGGCCAAAUUUCAUAGGACAGAACUAGGGCUGAAACAAAGAGACUUUCGAGCAGAAUAACUGUCUGACUUCAAAUGAAACACCAUUUGGACAAUAAGCAGUUCAUGAGCAACAAUUACAAUAUGAGCCGAGAAUGCCCCCCCAACUUCCUGAACACUGUAGAAAACCUUCCAUUUUUAUAUAAUCCCAGAGAAUAGAAGGGGACCACCAAGCAUACCAAAAAUUUCAUUUCUUAUCAGAUAGGCAAACAAAGACUCAGAGUCAAGUAUGAUUUAACAGAGAAAAGUAAAA